AAGGUCAAAUACACUUUUUAGGGCCGGGGAUUUAGCUCAGCGGUUCCGAUGCCUGCCCAACAAGCGCAAGGACUCAAGUUCGAUCCCCAAUACCAAAAAAAAAAUACACUUUAUAAUACAGGGUACAUACAUUGCAGGGCCAGGAGUAUAGAUCUGUGGUAGACCACUUUCUUAGCAUGCAUGAGGCCAUCAGUUUAGUCCUCAGCACCAAAAAAUGAAACAAUAACAACAAAAUACUACAGGUGCAGUGGGGCAGUGGGGAAGGAUGAGGAGGGGGAAGAGGCUGUAAAAUGUUUGUUUCUUUUGGACCCAUUAAUUACAAGUAGGUUGUUCUGAUAAGCAUAGAAUCUGGAUAGGGGCUUUCUUAAAUUACAUAAACUCUGUGCUUCUCUCUAAUACAUUCUUCUAAUUCCUAUUUUAUCUUCCAUAAAGCAACACUGUAUGCAUCUCCAGGGAAUUCCUGCUCCCCAGCUAUUUCUCAGUGUCUUGAUGCUGUUGGCUCUCAUCACUCUUCUCAUAAUAUUUCAGGAAUGAGGAUGAACUAUAGGCUGAGUUUCAGGUCAACAAAAAGCCUUUGGGUCACGAACCUCAGCCAGCAGUGCUCUCGCGGAUCCAGUGGGUUAUUUGUGCCACCAUGUCCACCUUUGAGUCCUGAGAAAGUCAGAGAGUUCCAGCGCUUCAUCACCCUUUCCAAGAAACUCCUAGUGAUGACCGGGGCGGGAAUCUCAACGGAGUCCGGGAUCCCCGACUACAGGUCCGAAAAGGUGGGACUUUAUGCCCGCAACGCCCGGAGGCCCAUCCAGCACAGCGAUUUCCUCCGCAGCGCCCCGAUUCGCCAGCGGUACUGGGCGCGGAACUUCGUGGGCUGGCCUCAGUUCUCCUCCCACCAGCCCAACCCGGCACACUGGGCUCUGAGCACCUGGGAGAGACUUGGGAAGCUGCAUUGGUUGGUGACUCAAAAUGUGGACUCUCUCCACACCAAGGCUGGGAGUCAGCGGCUCACUGAGCUCCACGGAUGCAUGCACAGGGUGCUCUGCCUGAGCUGCGGUGCGCAGACCCCGCGGGGGGCGCUGCAGCAGCGCUUCCAAGUCCUGAACCCCACCUGGGGCGCGGAGGCCCAGGGCCUGGCUCCCGACGGCGACGUCUUUCUCUCGGACGAACAGGUACGCACUUUUCAGGUCCCGUCCUGCCUUCGAUGUGGAGGCCCUCUGAAACCAGACGUCGUCUUCUUCGGGGACACGGUGGAUCCUGCCAAGGUUGAUUUUGUGCACAAGCGCGUGAAAGAAGCCGACGCCCUGCUGGUGGUGGGAUCCUCCUUGCAGGUGUACUCGGGGUACAGAUUCGUCCUCACUGCCCGGGACCAGAAGAUACCGAUCGCCAUCCUGAACAUCGGGCGCACACGCUCGGACGACUUGGCCUGUCUGAAGCUGAGUUCUCGCUGCGGAGAGUUGCUGCCUUUAAUAGACCCUCACUGACCCCCGACAUGAUGUUCCCAAGCCAGAAACGGGCCUUCCCGAGAAUCCGGCUGCUGAAAGUAAAUAAAUGCCUUCCUAGAUAGCAGAUUCCGGUUCCCAUUCAACUGAGAGGAGCAUGGUGCGCUGAGAAGAUACAGAUAAUCCUAGAAUCCCAGGACUCACCAUGCCUUCUUCCACAAACGAAUGGAAGCUCCUCGAGUGCAUCCUGUAGGGGGCACCAAACCACCCCGUCUGCCUGCUCAUCUCCAAGCUGGGCUUGUAUCGCAGAGCCAAGGAGUGAGACCCCAGGCCAAUGAUAUUUAUCCUGUUUUCAAAGAAACAGCUGUUCUUGAUGGGAAAACUGCAUUCAUUUCCUUUUUAUGUCACAUGGGAGAAGAAAUAGUCUGGGGAAAAUGUAGGACACGACACUGGAGUGGUUGCCCGGGGAGUGCACUCAGUGGGUGAGUGUAGAAGGAAAAUGACUUGAUUCAUAAUUCCAAAUGGUUGUGUUUUUAACGGAACCACUUGUUUUGUUUUGUUUUGAUAAAUGUGAAUGAAUGUUUUAUUAACCAAGUAUUAAAGUAUUUCAGUAGCA
Non-coding RNA from Heterocephalus glaber (naked mole-rat), 2049 nucleotides. The record is from RefSeq and is a predicted model, not a curated record. Lineage: Eukaryota; Metazoa; Chordata; Mammalia; Rodentia; Bathyergidae.